GGUGUGGCUCAUUGGUAUGGCACUAGCCUAGCAAGCAGGAGAUCCUGAGUUCAAACCCCAGCACC
This 65-nucleotide transfer RNA is filed under the name Dipodomys ordii (Ord's kangaroo rat). It matches the Rfam family "tRNA". Rfam says of the family: Transfer RNA (tRNA) molecules are approximately 80 nucleotides in length. Their secondary structure includes four short double-helical elements and three loops (D, anti-codon, and T loops). Further hydrogen bonds mediate the characteristic L-shaped molecular structure. tRNAs have two regions of fundamental functional importance: the anti-codon, which is responsible for specific mRNA codon recognition, and the 3' end, to which the tRNAs corresponding amino acid is attached (by aminoacyl-tRNA synthetases). tRNAs cope with the degeneracy of the genetic code in two manners: having more than one tRNA (with a specific anti-codon) for a particular amino acid; and 'wobble' base-pairing, i.e. permitting non-standard base-pairing at the 3rd anti-codon position. Lineage: Eukaryota; Metazoa; Chordata; Mammalia; Rodentia; Heteromyidae. The record is from Rfam by way of RNAcentral.